This 411-nucleotide ribosomal RNA is filed under the name uncultured bacterium. RNAcentral's name for it is "bacterial SSU rRNA". It matches the Rfam family "Bacterial small subunit ribosomal RNA", at positions 30 to 438 of the family's 1533-position model. The record is from RNAcentral.
AUUGAACGCUGGCGGCAUGCUUUACACAUGCAAGUCGAACGGCAGCACGGGCUUCGGCCUGGUGGCGAGUGGCGAACGGGUGAGUAAUGCAUCGGAACGUGCCCAUUUGUGGGGGAUAACUACGCGAAAGCGUGGCUAAUACCGCAUACGCCCUGAGGGGGAAANCGGGGGAUUCUUCGGAACCUCGCGCAAUUGGAGCGGCCGAUGUCAGAUUUAGCUUGUUGGUGAGGUAAAGGCUCACCAAGGCGACGAUCUGUAGCGGGUCUGAGAGGAUGAUCCGCCACACUGGGACUGAGACACGGCCCAGACUCCUACGGGAGGCAGCAGUGGGGAAUUUUGGACAAUGGGGGCAACCCUGAUCCAGCCAUGCCGCGUGAGUGAAGAAGGCCUUCGGGUUGUAAAGCUCUUUCA